RNAcentral lists this ribosomal RNA (654 nucleotides) under Pedococcus aerophilus. RNAcentral describes it as "bacterial SSU rRNA". It matches the Rfam family "Bacterial small subunit ribosomal RNA", at positions 74 to 740 of the family's 1533-position model. Lineage: Bacteria; Bacillati; Actinomycetota; Actinomycetes; Micrococcales; Intrasporangiaceae. The record is from RNAcentral.
GGGAGCUUGCUCCUGCUUGAUCAGUGGCGAACGGGUGAGUAACACGUGAGUAACCUGCCCCAGACUCUGGAAUAACUUCGGGAAACCGGAGCUAAUACUGGAUACGAGACGGAUCCGCAUGGGUGCCGUUUGGAAAGUUUUUCGGUCUGGGAUGGACUCGCGGCCUAUCAGCUUGUUGGUGAGGUAAUGGCUCACCAAGGCGACGACGGGUAGCCGGCCUGAGAGGGCGACCGGCCACACUGGGACUGAGACACGGCCCAGACUCCUACGGGAGGCAGCAGUGGGGAAUAUUGCACAAUGGGCGAAAGCCUGAUGCAGCGACGCCGCGUGAGGGAUGACGGCCUUCGGGUUGUAAACCUCUUUCAGCAGGGAAGAAGCGAAAGUGACGGUACCUGCAGAAGAAGCACCGGCUAACUACGUGCCAGCAGCCGCGGUAAUACGUAGGGUGCGAGCGUUGUCCGGAAUUAUUGGGCGUAAAGAGCUUGUAGGCGGUUUGUCGCGUCUGCCGUGAAAAUUCGAGGCUCAACCUCGAACUUGCGGUGGGUACGGGCAGACUAGAGUGUGGUAGGGGAGACUGGAAUUCCUGGUGUAGCGGUGAAAUGCGCAGAUAUCAGGAGGAACACCGAUGGCGAAGGCAGGUCUCUGGGCCACUAC